Misgurnus anguillicaudatus (oriental weatherfish) is the source of this 1398-nucleotide non-coding RNA. Lineage: Eukaryota; Metazoa; Chordata; Actinopteri; Cypriniformes; Cobitidae. The record is from RefSeq and is a predicted model, not a curated record.
GACCAGUCACGGAAAUUAGGGACACAAGUCGGAUCUGGGGCAUUUUGAGUUAUUCAUAGAUUCUGAAAGUGCAGAUUCUAAGCUUUCCAACGAUGUGUAACACAUGGAAAUCUGAUAAGAUUUGGAGAAGUUGUGGCCAUUUGAAUGUAACACAUUCAAGAAAGAAAAUGCUGAGAAAUUUGAGAAAGAAAAAAGUUAACACUUUCCCUUUUCCCUGGCUGGAGAAACAAAAGGGCUCAUUUACAUCUCAUUUAGCUAAGCCAUACCCCCUGUAAAGCCGUUUUGAGAUACAGCUGUUCUAGCAGCAUAUGUAGUAUUUUAUUACAGAAGUCCGAAUGACAAAAUGCAAAAAUAAACAGGACUUUUAACGUUACCUUUGCGGGGAUCACAAGUCGAAUCCAGUCUGUUUCAGAUGUGUGAAUCAUCCAAUGAUUUUUGUCCACAAAUGCGUAUAAUCCGUGAAAUAUAGAUAUAUAGUCUAUUUCGCAUGAACUUCUGGUAAUACAAUAUAAUAUACAAUCCGAGGACUAUUUACAUCGUAACAUGUAAGGGUAUAUCAGAUUACACUCCGGUAUUUACGUUCCGUUAAACACAUGAACCCGCCUUCAAAGUUUGUAUUUAAAAUAGAUAAGUUAAUCCAAAAACAGCACCGUCGAAAACGUGAAGUCCUUAAGAGAUAUUACCAAUCGUUCCUCCAUCAGCCAAUGACUUCAUGGAAAAUAUUGAUAGACAAAACAUGUAGCCAAUUAUAUAAAGAAUACAACGAUCUCUGUGUAACUUCUGUGUGUUUGGACAAAUAACAGUCAGCCGCAUCACUGACUUUAUGGGGCGCCGCAGUCGGAUGACGUCAGAGUACCGCGAGAGCGAGUCGAAAUUAAACUACUCCGUAAGAUUUCUUAAAGAGCUCUCGCGGUACUUUGACGUCAUCCGACUGCGGCGCCCCAUAAAGUCAGUGACGCGCCUGACGUAUGCGGUUGACUGUUAUUUGUUCCGCCCCAGCUUCUUUUAUAUUUCUUUUGUUUUGUGCGCCCGAGCUUCAUUUACAGUCUGGGGAGACGCACGCUAUAAGUUUGAAAAAAAUAAAAAAUAAAACUCAGCAAACAUGUCUUAAGGGACAGAGCAGCCACGUCACUACAGUCACGUGACUUCACGCUCGAGCCGGAAGAGAAGACAAUAGGUGUGUUCGAGAUCAUCUGGCGCUGCGCAGACCGAUCGGCGAGGUUUGCCGCUUGCAGUCGAGGGAGGAACUGAAGACGGAGCCGUCAAGCCGGACACCUGCUGCUUGCCGUAGUGACGUGUGCGCCGUGUUUCCUUGUUUGUAAUCGCAAAUGAAGUGACUUAGAUGCUGAAUUUGAUAAAAACAAACCUUUUAAUAAAAAGUUGCAACCAGAAACAUUU